GUUUUUAUAAUUUAAUUAAAAUAUUAGUUUUGUAAACUAAAAUUAGAAGGAAUUCUUAAAAACA
This 64-nucleotide transfer RNA is filed under the name Phloiophilus edwardsi. Its description in RNAcentral is "tRNA-Thr". The record is from RNAcentral. Lineage: Eukaryota; Metazoa; Arthropoda; Insecta; Coleoptera; Phloiophilidae.